ACUAUACUGGCCACCGUUGUACUUGAAGCACCCAGGCAUGGAGAAAAUCCCCUUUCUCUUACUGUUCUUUGGAUCGAGGUGUGGCCGAGGCAGGGAUGGCGCAAAGCUUCUGGCCGCGGAUCUAGCGCUGCUCGCCUUCCCAUGAUGCGGCAUCUCAUUCUCAUCUCUGCUGAACUGGAGAGACAGACGCCGGGACAGAGAGCUGGGUCAUCGCGUUCGACGACCAUCUCCUCCAAAGUUUUCCUCGUCGUUCUCGUAUUAUCCAAUCGCCCAGGAUAGAGAUCGGCAUGCCGGGCAUGGUCGAUGCGGCAUAGAUACGCAUCAUUCCUACUUCCUCCGUAGCGCCCAAUUCUUCACAGGUGAGAAGGAAACUCAGAUGGUUGGGUGUGACUUAUGUAGAAAAUAGUAGCAUGCCACUUCAUAAUUUGGGCUGGCUUCGAUAUUGGUUGAGCGCCAAGUCUGAACAUCUCGGAUCAUAGCGUGUUUGCCUCAAUCGUCCUGGUGGUGGGAUCGUCGAGUCACGGCGUCGUAGAGUUGGUUGGCUUCAAUUUUCCUGGUCGUGGUGCUGAGUCGCGACUUGCUGUGUCUUUGAUUUCCAGGCGGAUGGUGGGCAUGUGCUGGCUGCUGGGUGCGGCCGGCUAUGUAUUCUGAUGGAUGAGUUCUGGUCGUGUCCUUAUGGAGUCCUUGUAUGUUUAUAUUCUUUUUUCCAAUUAAAGGCUAUAAGUGACAUUACACUGAUGGGUGCGGCCAGAUUUGUAUUUUUAUGGAGACUCUUUCCAUAAGCAAUCUUUGUAUGUGUUUA
Molecule: long non-coding RNA, 802 nt
Organism: Triticum dicoccoides
Lineage: Eukaryota; Viridiplantae; Streptophyta; Magnoliopsida; Poales; Poaceae
Exons: 3
Source: RefSeq, a predicted model, not a curated record